AACGAACGCUGGCGGCAGGCUUAACACAUGCAAGUCGAACGCACCUUUCGGGGUGAGUGGCAGACGGGUGAGUAACGCGUGGGAAUCUACCCUUCUCUACGGGAUAGCUCCGGGAAACUGGAAUUAAUACAGUAUACGUCCUGAGGGAGAAAGAUUUAUCGGGGAAGGAUGAGCCCGCGUUGGAUUAGCUAGUUGGUGGGGUAAAGGCCUACCAAGGCGACGAUCCAUAGCUGGUCUAAGAGGAUGAUCAGCCACAUUGGGACUGAGACACGGCCCAAACUCCUACGGGAGGCAGCAGUGGGGAAUAUUGGACAAUGGGCGCAAGCCUGAUCCAGCCAUGCCGCGUGAGUGAUGAAGGCCCUAGGGCUGUAAAGCUCUUUCAGUGGGGACGAUAAUGACGGUACCCACAGAAGAAGCCCCGGCUAACUUCGUG
RNAcentral lists this ribosomal RNA (433 nucleotides) under uncultured bacterium. RNAcentral's name for it is "partial 16S ribosomal RNA". It matches the Rfam family "Bacterial small subunit ribosomal RNA", at positions 29 to 507 of the family's 1533-position model. The record is from RNAcentral.